Molecule: ribosomal RNA, 496 nt
Filed under: uncultured bacterium
Lineage: Bacteria
Description: partial 16S ribosomal RNA
Rfam family: Bacterial small subunit ribosomal RNA
Source: RNAcentral
GAUGAACGCUGGCGGCGUGCCUAAUACAUGCAAGUCGAGCGAACAGACGAGGAGCUUGCUCCUCUGACGUUAGCGGCGGACGGGUGAGUAACACGUGGAUAACCUACCUAUAAGACUGGGAUAACUUCGGGAAACCGGAGCUAAUACCGGAUAAUAUAUUGAACCGCAUGGUUCAAUAGUGAAAGACGGUUUUGCUGUCACUUAUAGAUGGAUCCGCGCCGCAUUAGCUAGUUGGUAAGGUAACGGCUUACCAAGGCGACGAUGCGUAGCCGACCUGAGAGGGUGAUCGGCCACACUGGAACUGAGACACGGUCCAGACUCCUACGGGAGGCAGCAGUAGGGAAUCUUCCGCAAUGGGCGAAAGCCUGACGGAGCAACGCCGCGUGAGUGAUGAAGGUCUUCGGUUCGUAAAACUCUGUUAUUAGGGAAGAACAAAUGUGUAAGUAACUAUGCACGUCUUGACGGUACCUAAUCAGAAAGCCCCGGCUAACUACGU